RNAcentral lists this long non-coding RNA (3769 nucleotides) under Populus trichocarpa (black cottonwood). Its description in RNAcentral is "long non-coding RNA (PTRI_LNC000265)". The record is from RNAcentral. Lineage: Eukaryota; Viridiplantae; Streptophyta; Magnoliopsida; Malpighiales; Salicaceae.
UCCCUUGUUUCACUUUAAAUCGCCGCCACCUCCAUCUCCUUCUCCCCCUCCACCUAUCCUCAAAUCUCCACCUCCUCCGAGGUUUAAACUUCCUCCCUUCUUUUACUUUAAAUCCCCGCCACGUCCAUCUCCUUCUCCCCCUCCACAUAUCCUUAAAUUUCCACCUCCUUCGAGGUUUACACUUCCUCCCUUCUUUCACUUUAAAUCUAAAUCCCCGCCUUCUCUAUCUCCAUCACCUCCUUCAUCCAAUAAUUAACCUCCACCUCGUUCAAAAAUAUCUAUCAAAAUUGGUCAGUUCUUUUAACUUUCUUUGUAAUAGAUUGUUCAUUUCGAUAACAUGGUUCUUUUUUUUUUUUAAUUUACCAAUAUUUAAUCUCUAAUUGUGUUUUUUUUUUUCAGAUUAUAUAUGGUUAAUGAUGGCAGUGGGUUUCUUCGAAGAGACUUACAUAUUAUAUAAUGCAUGUAUUGAAAAUGUAAUCAGUUGAAGGAAAGUCGAUUGUGCUCCAUCAAUCAUGCCAGAAUAAUAUCAUAGAAAAUUAGUUAUUGUAAUAAUAUAUGGAUAAUAUGGAGGAAAAUAUUAUGUUUGUUGAAAAGCAUUAUAAUACUAAAUGAAUGUCUUUUAUUACAAUAAUUACUUCUUUUUUUACAAUUCUUAUCGUUAAACUUUUUACUCGUCUAAUUUCUUUGGAGAAAAACAGUAAAAGAGAAUUUAGAUAUCAGGACAAUGUUUACCUAUAUACAUUGAAGACUUUCCCACGUGAAAAUCUCAAUUAUUUGGACUUCCAGGUGUAUAAACUUGAUUAUAAUUACUUUCAUAUAUAAUUAGCGAUGUGAUUAUCGGGAAGAGUUCGAAAGGAUGGCGUCACCAUCUCGGUGUCAUCUUGUGCAUGCCAUGGUUUUCGGCUUACUAGCAAUUAACGCGGCGGCCAAUAUUUAUGAUAAUGAGGAACCUCCUAGUCCACCUCAUGAUCACGAAGAUCCACCAUUACCAUAUAAUCAUAAAAACUCUCUAUUUUGUCAAAGAACCAACUCAACCCAAAAGCUUAAGCUGUUAGGUGAGGUCCCAGGAUAUGAUUUAUAUUAUUCUCUAACACACCCCCUCAAGUGAAAGCCCUUUAGGCUUGAAACUUGCACAGGCCCACAUUACCUUGUGCUUAAUUUUUAUCAAAUAAAUGAGGAUGGUGAGAUUCGAACUCGAGACCACUUGGUCUUUAUACACAGGGGAUCAACUCGUCUUUAUACACUAAAAACACAACUAUAAAAGCAAAUCUUCACGUCCAUUCCUUGUUCAGAAGCUAAUUAGCGAGAGCAAGUGUGAUUAUCGGGAAGAGUUCGAAAGGAUGGCGUCACCAUCUCGCCGUCAUCUUGUGCAUGCGAUGGUUUUCGGCUUACUAGCAAUUAACGCGGCGGCCAAUAUUUAUGAUAAUGAGGAACCUCCUAGUCCACCUCAUGAUCACGAAGACCCACCAUUACCAUAUAAUCAUAAAAACUUUGUAUUUCAGCCAUCAGGACUUCUGAAUCGAGGAACACCGUCGCCCCCUCGAUCACAACCACCUCCAAAUAAAAAGAAAAUGCCCCCACCACCUCCAAAAAUUCAUCACCUUCAGCCGCCGCCACAAGCAAAAUCUCCACCACCACCACCACCAGCAAAAUCUCCAACAUUGCCAUCAGCUUCACCUCCGACACCAUCUUCAGCUCCUAUUUUACCUCCAUUGCCUUCUUAUAUUUCUCCAGUUACAUCCCCUUCAAAAGUUCCACCAAUUCCAUCCCCAUCCCCAUCCCCAUCCCCGGCUUCAAAUUUAUUUCCAUCUCCUCCUUAUACUUCACCAGCAUCCCCUCCAAGAAUUUCACCCAUUCCAUCACCAUCCCCAUUCCCAUCUCCUAAUUUAUCUCAAUCACAUUCACAUACUCCUCCGACAUCCCCUUCAAAAGUUUCACCAUUUCCAUCACUAUUCCCAUCCCCGCAUCUCAAUUUAUCUCCAUCCCCUUCUUAUACUUCACCAAAAAUCUCACCAAUUUCACCACUAUCCGCACCCCCAACUCCUAAUUUAUCUCCAUCACAUCCUCAUACUUCCCCGAUACCCACUCCAAAAGUUUCACCAUUUCCAUCACUAUCCCCAUCUUCGCAUCCCAAUUUAUCACCAUCACCUUCUUACACUUCUCCAAAAAUCUCACCAAUUUCACCACUAUUUGCAUCCCCAAAUCCUAAUUUAUCUCCAUCACAUCCUUAUACAUCCCCGAUACCCCCUCCAAAAGUUUCACCAUUUCCAUCACUAUCCCCAUCGCCGCAUCCCAAUUUAUCUCCAUCGCCUUCUUAUACUUCUCCCAAAAUCUCACCAAUUUCACAUCUAACCCUAUCCUCGAAUCCCAAUUUAUCUCCAUCACAUCCUUAUACUUCCCCGAUACCCACUCCAAAAGUUUCACCAUUUCCAUCAAUAUCAUCAUCCCCGCAUCCCAAUUUAUCUCUAUCGCCUUCUUAUACUUCUCUCAAAAUCUCACCAAUUUCACAACUAUCCCCAUCCCCGAAUCCCAAUUUAUCUCCAUCAUAUCCUUAUACUUCCCCGAUACCCACUCCAAAAGUUUCACCAUUUCCAUCACUAUCCCCAUCUUCGCAUCCCAAUUUAUCACCAUCGCCUUCUUAUACUUCUCCAAAAAUCUCACCAAUUUCACCACUAUCCCCACCACCAACUCCUAAUUUAUCUCCAUCACAUCCUCACACUCCUCCGACAUCCCCUCCAAAAGUUUCACCAUUUCCAUCACUACCCCCAUCAUCGCAUCCCAAUUUAUCUCCAUCGCCUUCUUAUACUUCUUAUACUUCUCCCAAAAUCUCACCGAUUUCACAACUAUCCCCAUCUUCGAAUCCCAAUUUAUCUCCAUCACAUCCUUAUACUUCCCCGAUACCCACUCCAAAAGUUUCACCAUUUCCAUCACUAUCCCCAUCUUCGCAUCCCAAUUUAUCUCCAUCGCCUUCUUAUACUUCUCCAAAAAUCUCACUAAUUUCACCACUAUCCCCAUCCCCAUCCCCGAAUCCUAAUUUAUCUCCAUCACAUCCUUAUACUCCUCCGACAUACCCUCCUAAAAUUUCACCAAUUCCAUCACAUCCUUAUACUUCCCGAUUCCCCCUCCAAAAGUUUCACCAUUUCCAUCACUAUCCCCAUCCCCAACUCCUAAUUUAUCUCCAUCACGUCCUUAUACUCCUUCGACAUACCCUCCAAAAAUUUCACCAAUUCCAUCACAUCCUUAUACUUCCCCGAUUCCCCCUCCAAAAGUUUCACCAUUUCCAUCACUAUCCCCAUCCCCAAUUCCUAAUUUAUCUCCAUCACAUCCUUAUACUCCUCCGACAUACCCUCCAAAAAUUUCACCAUUUCCUCACCUCGUUUUACUUCUCCUCCACCCCCUCCACCUAUCCUCAAAUCUCCGCCUCCUCCGUGGUUUACUCUUCCUCCCUUCUUUCCCUUUAAAUCCCCGCCACCUCUAUCUCGUUCUCCCCCUCCACCUAUCCUCAAAUCUCCACCUCCUCCAAGGUUUACACUUCCUCCCUUCUUUCCCUUUAAAUCCCCGCCACCUCCAUCUCCUUCUCCCCCUCCACCUAUCCUCAAAUCUCCACCUCCUCCGAGGUUUACAUUUCCUCCCUUCUUCCCCUUUAAAUCCCCGCCACCUCCAUCUCCUUCUCCCCCUCCACAUAUCCUUAAAUCUCCACCUCCUCCAUGGUUCUUUUUGCCUCCCUUUUUCUUUAAAUCCCCACCUCCUCUAUCUCCAUCACCUCCUU